This 1104-nucleotide long non-coding RNA is filed under the name Homo sapiens (human). Its description in RNAcentral is "non-protein coding lnc-IFT81-5:1". The record is from RNAcentral. Lineage: Eukaryota; Metazoa; Chordata; Mammalia; Primates; Hominidae.
AAUAAUUGCCAAGUCGGCAAGGAGAGCCUCAGCCCUUGAAGAGACCCACUUGCUAGUGACUUGGCAGUGUCAAACAAAUGUUCAACUUUUAUUCUGACACUUCUUGAAGAAUUUGAUUGAAACUAUAUAUGUCCAGAUAACACUCAGCAAAGUGCCCUUCUUGCAUUUGUUUCAAGAUAUAUUUGGAAACAAAGAGAUGACCUUGGACUCAGCUGCUUUUCCAAUUUAGGACUUCUCUCUAGGUCUACUGAAUAAUAAUAUUCCCCAACAUUGAAAAUUCAACAAAUGGAAAAACAUUUUAGUUACUAUAUGCCAUAAGUCCUAUGAUAGAGGACUUUUUCUCCCAGCAAUAUGUUCUGCUUCUAAAAGAAAUGAUAUAUUUAGCCCACAAACUCUAUAUUAGCUUUCUAACCAUCUACUUCGACAUACAUUUAGGAACACAUUUGCUUUUCAUCAGAGUGCCUUUUUGUAAUCUAAAUUGAGCUAUCCUUGCUUUUUAAAAUAUUUUAGCAUCUAAGAAAUAAAAAAACAACCCGCAGUUAACUCUUCGCCUUUGCUUUCUGGCAUUCAUAUUUUCAUUUGAAGCCGGGGUUCAUUGCAGCUUGAUGUAAGAUCUAAAAGAAGACUUUGGAGGCCCUGACAUCCCCUUCUAAGGCUAUUGCCACCUGUCCAGAUGACAAUAGAAGUCCUGCUGGUCCAACCUCAAGCCUGAAUGCCAAGAUUAGCUUCCAAUUGUGUCUACAUUUAGCCCAUGGAGAUGGAUGUUUUAACUAUCAUUAAAGUGACAUCCUUUCAGUUACCAUUUUGCAUAUUUUGGAGGUUUCAGCAGUUCCAUUUUUAAUUUGUUGUCAUGGUCACAGGAUAAGACGUAGGUAACCUUCCUGAUAAGGUGGUUUUACUUUUAAGCAAUUAAAUAAGAAUUUUAGUCUGAUCAUUGUCCUACAUGGCAUAUUAUCAGGGAUAGCCACAUUUUCUAUUUUCAUAUGGUUUCCUAAUAUGUUAUAAGCAAUUAGAGCAUUUAUAGAGAUUAAUAUGUUGUUAGCUGCAGUCUUCAGCAUGUGCAAUACAUUAAUUCCCAAUAAAAUGCUGCAUUACAGGCCGGGC